Molecule: non-coding RNA, 15307 nt
Organism: Rattus norvegicus (Norway rat)
Lineage: Eukaryota; Metazoa; Chordata; Mammalia; Rodentia; Muridae
Source: RefSeq, a predicted model, not a curated record
UCCGACACGCACCGCCCCCGCCCGCGCCUCUGUGGCCUCUGAUUGGCUGCGGCCGGCUCUUAAAAGACGCGGCCAAUGGCUGCGAGCGCCAGAGGCCGGGGAGCAGGCGAGGUGUUGGGUGCUGGUCGGCUGUUAGAGCGCUGGUGGGAAUGGCAGCCGGGCGGGGAGAGCGGCGGCGCUCGGUGCCGGGUGGGUCGCUGCAGCCGGCUGCGGGGUUCGCCCUUUGUCUGCACCCUUCCAAAAUGGCUGCGGCCAGGGCGGGCGGCGACAGCUGCGCGGGCGCUCCCGGGGCCCCGGCGGUCAGUGAGGAGCAGGAGUCCUGGCAAGAAAACGCUUUCGGGGCGGAGAGGUGCGCAGAGGACGCCACGGACGCCACGGGUCAGCUCCUCUGACUUACAGCGGCCCCAAAAACAAAUUCCAGAUGGCAAAGCUCCUUGUUGGGACCUCACUGCAACUGACCCUCCCAGAAUCAUCGUCACUUCUGAAGAGACUUGCCACAGUCCGCACAGAUCCAGCACUGGGGAAUGAGGAAUGUGACAUUGUAAUUUUUUUUUCUUUCGUGCCUUGAAAGAGGCGUUUCCUACCAGCCCGUACUACCUAUACACACCAUCCCAGCACUUGGAAAGUGAAGGCAGAUUAAUAAGGAGUUCAACCUUGGUUAUAUAUUUAGUUGGAGGCCAGCUUGGGGUCUCAUGAGACACUUAUAUCAAAAAGGUGAGGUGAGGACUCUUCCUCUCUAAAGCAGGCUGCUCUCUAACUCUCAGCCUGUGUGCUGAUCCUGUCCCAGCCUUUUAAACUAAGUGAGUUAUAACUGCUAUACAACAAACCCCACCCUACCCCAGCUGUUCUCUAAGCAAUAGUCUAUCUAAGGAACUGUACACGUUGAAACCCCCACCCCCACCCACCCCCAAAAAAACAAAACAAAACAAAACACAGUGCCCUCACUUGCAAAGUGUGCUAGGGAACCCUUAGACAACAGAAAUUUUGUUCUUGAACAUCAGCCUCCAGGUUUGGAAAGCCAGUAAAAAGGAGGAGACAAUGAGAAAGCAGGUAGGGUGCUACAAGCCAGUGUAGGAUUGACACCAGGAACAGAAAUUCACAGUUGUGAAUAAAACCCAAGCGUCUUCUUCUGACACAGGAGAACACACUUGGGGCCAAGAGCAUCCUAAGCAAGUAGGGCACCACUUAGUGACAACCCUCCAAACCCAAAUCGGAAUUUUUCACUCUUGAUGGUUUGAAGAUUUUAAAAUGGACCAAACACUCAGCGGGUUCUUAGUCAUCCACUUGAUGCUGGUUAAUGGGAACCACCAGUUAGGUGUACAACAGCCUGUACCCCAAAACCCUUAGGUGACAGGAAGCAAAACAGUGAACACCUAUAGCAAAGCCCAGACUCUGAAGCUCACAGGCCCUCGGGUGACUGUUGAUUCCCAGUGCCAUACCCCUACCCUGCAUGUCCCUUGCUGCCAUGGUACUAAGAUCUUUCAUGAGAACAGGCAUUGUCCUCUCCAUAGGCUUGCCAGACACAUCUCCAGUGUGGUUCCAAGCCUCUAAAAGAGAAUGAAGCCUCCUUCCAUGCCUAAGCAUCUGCUGAUGACACAGCCCCUGAGCCACCAAGACUUAAGUUAUAGGUGUAGGUUUAGGGUCUGUGCCACCAAACUCUUCACUCCUUGCUGCAGUGCCCAGUAUGGGAGCCACAAUGCAGGCAGCUGUUUUCAAGUACACUGCCCUUAAGACUGGAGUGAGUGGAGCUGAAAAAUCUCCCCUCCUCAAAACCUAUAUAUAUGCAAGGGACAGUAGACACUAUUAGAGACGUAACCUUUGUCACUCUGGAGACAAAUUUCCUUUAAAUGUCUCUCCCUCUGAUACAUUGUCACAGGCCAUUACGACUUCCAUAGUUUGAAGCUGACAAUCCCAGAACUAGCGUUAAAAGAGAAAAGGAAGAAGAACCACUAAGUAUAAAGUAAAAAAACACCUCAUUUUGGGGCUGGGGAUUUAGCUCAGUGGUAGAGCGCUUACCUAGGAAGCGCAAGGCCCUGGGUUCGGUCCCCAGCUCUGAAAAAAAGAACCAAAAAAAAAAAAAAAAAAACCACCUCAUUUUGAUAGAAGCAGAGGACAACUUUUAGGAGUAGGUUCUCGCCACCGUAGGUUCAAGGGGUCAAAUUUAUCUCAGGCUAACAUGGCAACUACUUUAAUCUGCUUAGCCAUCUCACUGGUCCUCAAGAUGUUUGUUUAAUAAAAAAAAGAAGAAGAAGAAAAAAAGACACAGCCAAGGGAUAAGGUGAAGUGAUAGGAUAUGAGUUGAAUCCCAGCACCCACGUGAAAAUGCUGGGUGCAGCAGCAUGCAUCUGUAAUCCCAGCUAUGGAGAGGUAGGGAUCACAGUAUUCCUGGGUCUCACUGGCCCAGAAAGUGUAGUGAAACACCCUGUCUCAAGAAAUAAGAAUGAUUGAGGAAUACACCUUUAUACCUGAUGCUGACCUCUAACCUCCAGGCACUCACACAUACCAGAGAGAGAGGGAGAGACAGACAGACAGACAGACAGACAGACAGACAGACACUAGAUGGUAGCUGGAGGCCUGGAGCUGGUUCCUGCUUUCUAGGUGAAUGUGUCAGGCACCCUUAUCUCGUGGUGGCUUCAGCCAUCUCUGGACUCACCUGGCUAUGGUCUCUCUUCUAUUUUGUUUUGACACAGUGUCUUGUGUUGCACAUGCCAGUCUUGAUAGGCUCAUUCCAUCCUGUCAACCUGUCACAUAGCUGAUACCUCUGAUCUUCGAAUGUCACCAGUCCCUGGAUUUGGGACCCACAAAAUUCCAAGAUGAUUUCAAAAGGUUUUUAACACAUAAGAACUCCAAAGAUAUCUCCUCCAGAGAAGUUUAUUUGUGUUAUGAGUGGGUGUGAGUUGAGGGAAGGGCCAUUAUUCAUCCCUCUACACCGCUGUGACCCUGUAAGAAGAGAAAGCCUUAAAGAAGCCAGAAGACACUUGUUGGCCUAUCCAGUCUCUCAUGCUUGCACAGAAGCCUGAGGCAGCUAGAGUAGGACACAGGCCUAAGCAUCUGGACCAGAGUCCUCUUGCUGUCCUGCAUUCCCAAGCAAGUAACAGCAUUCAAGUAUGCCCUAGUCAAGACUCCUUUGCUUGGAACCAGGCUUGGGUGGCCACCAGUCUUAGGACUAAGGCAUUGCGUGCUCUCUGCAAGGCCAGAGAGGAACUAAGGUUAGAAGGCUACGUUCAUGGCUGGGUCUCACAAGCCAAGUCUCGGACACUAAAGUCCCUGGGCACUGGCAGCACUCUGUUCUCAUGCUGAGGUCAGCCAUCCUUCUGUCCACAUGUCAUACACAAAUGGACAUCAUGGGGCUGGUGCCUGCUCCUCCUGCUUUCUCCUUCUGAAACUGACCCCAGUCUCCAGAGCCAGCUGUCUACAAAACUCCAGAAUGACUCAUGACAACACUCUCUUGGCUGACUCCCACAAAGGACUAACUAUAGCUGCGUGACCGGGUUUACAGUUCAGCUCAGAGGAGCUUACUCAGAGUGCAUGGGGGAGCCCAGCCUGACAGCAUGCCUGCACCUGCCUUCCCGAGCCUGCACCUCCCCUAAGUGCUUCAGCAUCAGCCUCACUUCACAGAGAAAGCCAGCCACACCUCCUGCAAGGUGCAGUGUUGGUCUGCUCUAUCAGAUGGUUUCUAAUACAACUUGCCCCCCAUUCAGCUCAUGUGUCCAGUUUAUAAAACCCUAACUCAAUCUAGAACAGAGUACAGUGGUGUACAUCCCAGCACUUCAGAAGUGGAGGCAGAAAUUGUUCGAGACCAGCUACAUAGUGAUGUGGAGAGCAGCUGGUCCACAAAGAACUCUUGUCUUGAAAGAUAAAUAAAAAAUAAACAACAGAACCCCAGCAAAACUCAGCUCACGCCCCUGAAAACCUAGUGCCAUUACACGUUGAAUGAUCACAUUCAAAGCUUAGUGACUGUCAUGGCAGUGUUGGGAAGGACCGGGAGCUAGUGAGAUGCCUAAGUCACUGAGGAUGCACCCUAAAAAGAGCUUCGCCUCGCUGUGACAGAGGGCCUGACAAAAGAGGCUCAGUGAGGAAGAGCUUACUCUGGUGCAGCAUGGUGGAGAAGACAUGGCGGAGAACAGCCCAUGGACUGCGGUGUCCAGAGCCUGAGGAUGCUUGUAGCCCACAAGACAAGAAGCGAGGCCUGGCUGCCAUACUUGAAGGUCCACCCUCUGAGCAUCUACCUAGACUCCACCUCUGACAGGCAGCAGCGACUGGGGACCAAGUGUUCAAAUGGUCGGCCACUUAGAAUGUGAAACGCAAGUUGAGUGGUGACUUGAAUCCCAGCAGAAGCAGGCAGGCAGACAGGGUACACAGAGGACCCAGUUGCAUGUAAAAUAAAAAAUAAAAGGGGGGGGGGGUAGGGAUUUAGCUCAGCGGUAGAGCGCUUGCCUAGCGAGCGCAAGGCCCUGGGUUCGGUCCCCAGCUCCGAAAAAAAGAAAAAAAAAAAGAAAAAAAAAAAGAAAAAAAAAAGAAAAAAAAACUCAAUAUGAAACGAAUGAAAGACACAAGACCCAUAGUCAGAUAAUCUUAAACGUAACUGAGGUAAGUUGGAGGAGAGCCGGGGAGAUGCCUGAGUGAGCCAGGUGCUUACCCGGCAAGCUUGAGCUAGAGUCCAGAUCUGCACAAAGCCAACCAGGCAGGUGUGGCAGCCACCUGUAACCCCAACUCGGGAAGCAGACUAGAUUCCCAGAUCAAGCAGGCUUCCUCCUAGCCAGAAUUGGUGAGCUCAGGGUUCAUCAGGACAGCAUGCCUCAGUGAAUGAAGUGGGAGGCAUCCGAGGAAAGCAUCAACUUCAGGCCUGCACACCCAUGCAAACAUUUACACUGUACACAGUAGAUACCUAGAGGGACAUACCAAAUUAAAGAAUGAGAAGUCUUAUUGUAAAAAAGGUCAUUUCUCCCCAGUAUCAGCUACAGACCUGGUACAAACAUGCAGUUUAACCCUCAAUUGUUUUGCUUUUUUUUUUUUUAAAUCAUUGAUCACAAAAGUUGACAAGCUGGGCUUCUGUUUCCCAUUUGGCAAGACUAGCUCUCCCUUGGGUCACACCUCAAACUCCGGGAGAUAUAACAUUUGCCCAGCUUUCCAGAGCACGACCUCGGGUUCAGGUUCUAGGAAGGAGCCAGCACUUGUCUGGGGAGCCACUAAGGUCAGAGCAUGCUCCAGGUCACUUAGGAAGAAAGAAACUCCAAAUUGCUGGAUGUCAAAGCCAGAUGUCACCCCUCUCCAGAAGGUGCAGGGCAUCCUAGAAAAGAAAAGGCUUGCGAAGGGGAGAUAAAGUCAGGCUUACGAGUGCUGUCUCCAUCUCCAGUUGGACUCUGAGCCAUAUACUGGGGAGAUUCCAAACAGCACAGCUCAGAAUAAGAUAUGAACAGCUGUCCCAGUGACAGAUGAGGACUUGGGUCUCAGUCCCACAAGUCAGCCAUCAGCUGACAAAACACUGUCACAAUGUACAGGCCACAACCACGUUUAAAAAGAUUAACGUUUUAAAAAAUUGAAGCUAUACGUGGUGGUUCAUACCUUUAAUCCCAGCACUCAGAGACAGAGGCAAGUAGAUUACUAGGAGUUUGAGGCCAGCCAGGUCUAUAUAGUGAAACUUUGUUUCAAAAAGACAAAGGAAUAAAUAUAUUUUUUUUAAUUCUAAAAGUAAACAAACUCAUAAUCCAGUGCUGGGGAAUUGGAGACAGGAAGAUCCUUGGGGCUCACGGGCCAGUCAGCCUAGCUUAAGAUGUUUUAGAUGAUGGAGAGACCCUGUCUUAGAAAGACAAAGGCUGGGUUGGAGAGAUGGCUCAGUGGUUAAGAGCACUGACUGCUCUUCCAGAGGUCCUGAGUUCAAAUCCCAGUAAUGUGUUCUGGUGUGCCUGAAGACAGUUACAGUGUACUUAUAUAUAAUAAAUAAAAUAAAUCUUUUUUAAAAAAGUGUGUCCUGCCACAGGAUGGAGAUGCCAUAUUAAAAAAAAAAAAAAAGGAAGAAAGAAAGACAGACAAAGGCUGAAAGAAGUCAGUGGGUACAAGUGCAUGCUAUGUGGGCAUGAGACUCUGUGUUUGGAUCCCAGCAGCCAUGUAAAAAGGUCAGGCAUGGGGUUGGGGAUUUAGCUCAGUGGUAGAGCGCUUGCCUAGGAAGCGCAAGGCCCUGGGUUCGGUCCCCAGCUCCGAAAAAAAGAACCAAAAAAAAAAAAAGGUCAGGCAUGUCCCCAUGCACACCUGUGCUGCAGUGCUCUGAGGGACACAGACAAGAUGGCCUGUGACCUCCCAUACUAGAUCUGGGUCCAAACAAAGUCCUCCUCUGGCCUCUGCACACCUGGGCAUGUAAGUGUGCAUAUCAUAAACACAUGCGUGUCUCCAUGCAUGCAAAGAAAUUGUCCUGAAGUUGCCCUCUGGCCUGCAUGUGUAUUUACACACACACACACACACACACACACACACACACACACACACGUGAACAUGCUCCUCUGCACACAUUUUUUUAAUAUUAUUUAAAAGCUAGACAGUACCUGAGGAACACCUGGAGUUGUCCUCUGUCAUACCCCUUCACAAAUAUGAACACAAUUAAAAUCGAAGUAUAAAAGGACUGCUAAACCAAUAUCUGGCAUAAAAAAAAAGUAGGCUUUCAACUAAUGAAAGGUUUUUUUCACAACAUAAGUAGAAACUAUUGUAAGUUUAUAUUCUGGAACUGAGAUAAAACUCAAUGAUUAGACCAUGUAUUGAUAGAACUCAUCUAAUCUGAAAAGGAGAGAUAAGCAGUUGGGGCAGUAUGACCAUGUCUAUGUGUGCAUUGCUGUGUGACAGUGUUUAUGUAUGCAUUACUGAGUGAUUAUGUGCACAUUGCAGUGUCACAGUGUCUAUGUGUGCAUUGCUGUGUGGCAGUGUCUGUGUGCAUUACUGUGUAACAAUGUCUAUGUGUGACAGUGUCUAUGUGUUCGUUACUAGAAUUACAGAGAAAACAGGAGAAGGAGAUAGCCCUGAAGGGAAUCAUGGCUGGAAUUCUGUCUAAUGAGAGAUAUACACUUACAUUUUUAUAAAGUUCUCCGAACUCCCACAAGAAUAAACUCACAGGAAACUAGAGGUAAGUGUAAUAUGCUGAACUGUGUACCUGAUCUACAUACCAAGUGCCAGGCCACUGAAGACUGCACAAUGAGACCUACCUCAAAAGAACAAAACUAAAGUGUUAGAAAGAUACCUGUUGGCCAAUUUAGAUAUAUCAGACCUUGGAAGAGUGAGAGUAAAGUUGCCCCUGGUGGCACUGACCUGGAAUCCCAGUUUAAUCCAGCUCAGGCAGGGAGUCUAUAGGUUUAAGCCUGACCAACUUAGUAAGACUCUAUCAAAAUAAAAGACAAGUGUGGGGCUGUGAACAAAGCUCAGUGUGAAGCACUCACCCCACGUGUUCCAUCCCCAAUACGGGGGGCGGGGAGGGGGGAGAAUGAGGCUAAGUCACCACCAGCAGACCCCCCAAAUACUCCAGGAAACUGUUUAGACACAAAUGAUUAAGUCUCAGAAAUGCUGAAUAUUAGAAUAAGCAAAAAUGACACUUUUUCUCCUCACUUUUUUGAAACGCACUUGCCUUUUUAAAGCAAAAUCAGCAGCAGCAAAUUAUGGCAAUUUUGCAGUGAUGACAUGAACACCUAAAAUAAAAAGGGGUCCUUCCAUACACCUCUGUCGCCAGCCUGAAGAAACCCACCCACUUUCGAACUUCCCUUUGAGUAAAGCUAGAUCCUGGACUGUCAGUGCAGAAAAGGAAGUCAGGGCCAUGUAGCUUCUGAUGAAGCAAAGUUAUCGGGUGUAGGUUUCAUUAAGUAUUUAGACCCAGAGACACGUAGGAAAAAGGACUGUACACACCAAACAUAUGGCUGCAGGCUUCUACAGUUGCAUUCCUCUCUGUGUGUGUGUGUGUGUGUGUGUGUGUGUGUGUGUGUGUGUGUGUGUGUUACACAUGCCACAGUGCACAUGUGAAGGUCAGAGGACAUCUUGUGAUCCUUCCCACCUAGUGGGUUCCCAAGACAGAACACAUUCGGAGAGAGAGAGAGAAGGCAAAAUGUAAUGAAGAAUGUUUUAAAAUCUGUUUUCAGAGCUGGAGAGGUAGCUCAGCCGUAAAGAACACAUCCUGGGCUUGCAGAGGACUAGAGUUCAGCUCCCAGCACCUAAGUUGGGUGGGUGGUUCACAACCUUCUAUAACUCCAGCUCCAGGGGCUUCUGGCCUACCUGGUUACCUGCACACGCAUCCACAUAUGGAAGUAAAGUGGAAUAUUUCUUUUUUUUUUUCUUUUUCUUUUUUUCGGAGCUGGGGACCGAACCCAGGGCCUUGGGCUUGCUAGGCAAGCGCUCUACCACUGAGCUAAAUCCCCAACCCCGGAAUAUUUCUUGAAAGGCAAUAUCAUGAGACGUGCUGCUUAGACUUAGGGACUAGGGGAGCGUUAGCCGUUAAGCUGCGGGUCACACACACUUCUCACCCAGUGGAAACACGGUCUGCUGUUUUUGUCAUGGUUAAGAUGUCUCUAGGACAGGCACUAUCGCUGCAGUUUGUAAGAUCUCUCUCUCUCUCUCUCCCCGUGUGUGUGUGUGUGUGUGUGUGUGUGUGUGUGUGUGUGUGUGUGUUCGCUUAUGUGUGCUUCUGCUCGAGCGUGUGCAUGUGCGUAGGUUGGGGGGGCUCUUUUUCUGUAGCAUCUGUGUGAGGUCAGGACAAUCUCAGGGUCUGUCUUCCCUAUUCACAGUUUUUGUUGUUUGCUGCUCUGUGUGAGGUUCCAUGGAUUCUCCUGUCUCCACCUCAGCACGGGAACACUGGGAUCGUACACAUUCUCAGCGUGGGAGCACAGAGAUUGCAGAUGCACACAUUACCAAGUCUGACUUCACUGGGUUCUGGAGUUUUAAACCCAGGUCCUCUUGCCUACGUGUUUCAUCUACUUAACCACCUUAUAGGCCCUUUUAUGCCUGUCGGAUUCCAAUAAACCCACGUCUAGUCCAGCAACUGGACAUAUACCCAACAGACAUGCAUUUUUCACACCCUGAUAGCCACACACUGGGAACAGCCCAGGUCUCUGCCAGCAGUAAAGACAGUGGAGAAACUGUCUGCUCAGCCUGUGGUGAGGGGUUUCCUUCUCCUAAAGAUCAUUUGUGUGUACAGUUUUGACUGUGUAAGUACAGUUCUCAGUGUGUUUGUGAGUACAGUUCUCAGUGUGUUUGUGAGUACAGUUUUGAGUUUGUGAGUGAAGUUUUGAGUUUAUGAGUGCAGUUUUGAAUGUGUGAGUGAAGUUUUCAGUGUGUUUGUGUAUACACUUUUCAGUGUGUUACUGUUGGAUGAAAGUCACUGUAGGCUGCAGCUCUUCUGUGCAAACUGGAAAAGUCAAGAGCUGGAAAGUCAAGAAUAAAUUCAUUUUGUAGGAAGCAGAAACCUGAGCCCUGAGAUGAAACUGGCCUUUGGCCUCCAGAAAACAGAAGGCUAUGACCCAACCCGAAGCUUCAGGAUUUGUGGCCCACAAACUACUCUCCUCAGUGGUACAAAUGUGUGUCAGUGGACAAAGUACCCACUACAAAAGUGCAAGAUCCUGACCUUGAACCCCUAACACCCAUUUAAAAGCCAGUGAUGGAUACAGAGUAGAGUCAGGCAAAUACCAGGGGUUCACUGCAAGCCAGGCUCAAUGACAAAGCCUAUCUCAAACAUGAGGCAGAAGGUCGGAGAGAUGCUUCAGUGGUUCAGAUCACUGGCUGCUCUGUCAGAUGACCCACGUUCAGUUACUGCACCCAUGUCAGAUGACUCACAACCACCUGUAACUCCAUCUCCAGAGGAUCUGACAUUCGUCUGGCCUCUUUAGGCAUCUGCACAUACAAUGAGACACACACAUACAUAAUGAAACAUAAAAAAACCCUUAAAAUAUAGUAUAUACACAAUAGAAUGUUCUUCAGCAUUAUGAAAAAAAGAAAUUCUGUGAGUGUAACAACAUAGGUGAGUCUGAAGUGUGUCACGCUAGCUGACAAUAUACCAAACACAAAAGGACAAAAACCACACAGUCUCACAUAGAUAUGUAAUGUAAAGACAAUCAAAAAGGUAAGUGAGGACCGUGGAGGAAUUUCCAGCACCUGGGAGUGAGAAGGGACUGAGAGCAGAACAGCCAGCUAGAGCAGAAUCCACCUAGGCAGGAGGUGUGAGUCCUGGUGACCUGUGACCAGGAUGGUGACCACAGUGAUGACCAAACCACAGGCCAGACAUGGUGGUCUGUCCCUGUGGUCCCAGCACUGAAGUACAGAAAUCCAUUAAUUCUAGAGCUUACAUGAGAGCAAAGAACCAGAAUAGCCCCACACAGUCUUAAAAAUGCAGAGGAGUAAAAACUCAGGGUCCUAGAAAGAAAGAUCCUCCUCUGUAGCCAGUGGGCCACCAAUGGGAGGAAACUGUUCUCAACAGACAGGGCUAGACUGGACACACUGUGCAGAGACUGCAACCCACCCUACUUUACAAUUCUAACAAGAUUCUUGCAAACCAGAUCCUGGAAAAGCAAAAACAUAAACAUUCUAAAAGAAAACUCAAAAAGAAAACCCUUGUGCUUUGAAUUAGGCAUAACCAACCCAGAAGGAAAUCAGUAAACAGGACAGAGUCGAAAACUCUGAGGCAUAUGGGAAGUCAGUACAGAGGAAAUACAGGCUAAGUAUUGCUAAAACCAUUCUACCUGUCAAAGAACUUGAUUUAUAGUAGUACAUUUAAACAACUCUUACUAAAUCCAACCAGCAGAUUUUUUUAGAACAGUGGCCAAAGAUUGAAACCAGUACUUCACAAAAGAUGAGUCAAGCACAUGAAAAGAUACUGCACACCUUUGGUCUGCAAGGAAACCAAAUUAAGACCACAGUACAACAGCACUCACUACACACCCACCAGGGCCAACAUUAGAGGACCCCACCCACACCUCCCAAAGGAUGAGGAGAUCCAAUCACACCCACUUGGGGAAGGUCCAGAUCUCAAACAACUUGGAGACCUCCUAAAUGGCUAAACAAGCACUUCUCACACACUCCUAAUCCCUCUCCCAGAUGGCAGUCCAAGAAAGGGAGACCAUUUCUACUAAAGCAUCUACAGGGAAUGUUCCUGAGAGAGGAAAGCUGGAUGUGAUGAUUGAUCUUGGUCGGGAACCACAUCUGGGGUCACCUGAAACAGCAUCUGCUGUUUGCCUGCUUGCCCUCACCCUCUCUCCUGUUGCUCAAGCAUUCCUUAGGGUAUUGGAACCUACUUCUUCAGGAUUCCAAUGUAGACUGAAGACCAGCAGCUCUCUGGAAUCCUCUGGGACUCCAGCACCAGAGUGGGGCUGCUGAGACAUCCAGACUCAUGAACUGAACUAUGGGAUUCACAGCCUUUCCGUCAUGAGGCAACCAUCAUUGGAUAACCCUGACCACGGAAAGGCAGUAUAAUAAAUCAUAUAUAUGUGAAUAUAUAUAUUAUACCUACACACAUAUUCAAUCAAUUCUGUUCCCUUAGAGAAACCUAAGGAAAUUCAUAUGUAUCCCUCUGUGUGUGUGUGUGUGUGUGUGUGUGUGUGUGUGUGUGUGUGUGUGUGUGUAUUUAAUUCUGGGGGUUCUUCACCCCUUUAUGCCCAGAUAGUGAUGGCAUUUCUACAGACUCUUGACCAUUUGGUUUAGCUCCCCAAUAAAUGGCACAGAGAUCUAAUCAAUUUAUUAACAAGCUGCAGGCACUAUGCUGGCCAGAUAUCCAUCUGUUAUAAUGGGGCUGUGAUGGCUGCUUCCUCUUCCCAGCCCCAUGGCAUUGUCUGCCAUCUCUGUCUUGCCCUGGCUGUUCUACUCCAACAGUUCUCCCCCAGUGAAGAACCCUCUGGUUCCUUCUCUUUCUUCUUCUCUCCUCUGUUUGCUUGGGACCCCCUGACUUCGAUCAGAAGUCCCCCCCCCAUUCUCUUCUGCCCAGCGAUAGGCUGAAUCAGCUCUUUCUUAGCCAAUUAGAGGUGAUAGAAAAGAAUUUUUACACAUCACUGAGACAGGAGACACUCCAGAUAUCAUGACAAUGCCAACGUCCUGGGCACCGCAAUCAGCAUCUGAAUACACAGUGCAGGAAAACAUCCCCCAACCGAACCCCAGGGAUGGCAAGCAUAAGAGACGAUCAUCUGGUUAAUUAACCUCACUCAAUCAUUGUGACCUCCUAAGAACAUGCAAUUAUUAUUUGACGAUUAAAAAUACAAUAAUAGAAUUUUAGAUGCUCAACACGGCCCAGGUUUUGUCCUUCCCUUGUAUGGGAGCAGGGGAUCAAAUACCAGACCUUACCGGGUCUAAUGGCCCUACCGCUGAGGCUAACUGCCACCAUGAGGGUGAUAAACUCUCUGUACAUUUAUCACAGUUUUAUAUUGUGGAGGGCUGCGUAUGUGUGGGAUGUGAGCCUGGCUGAAUGUGCACCUGUGGGCGUUAGCGAGUUGAGGUCCAAUGUUGACAACAGGUGCCUAUCCUCGAUCGUUGUCUACAUUUGUUUUUAUUUCUCUUAGAUACACUUUAUAGUACGUAUACAGGUGUUUUGCCUGCAUCUAUAUCUGGGUACCACGUGCAUGCCUGGUGGCCAUAGAGGUAAGGAGAGAGCACUGACUCCCUGGAGCCAGAGUUAUACACGGUUGUGAGCUAACACCUAUGUACUAGGAAUCAACCUGGGCCGUCUGCAAGAACAAGUGCUCCUAACCACUGAGCCAUCUCUCCACCCCUCCACUUUUGUUUGUUUGUUUCUGAGAAAGUGAUUCUCACUAAACCUGAUGGCACCUCUUUGAGCGGGGAAGGCUGGCCAGCCAGUGAGCUUAAGUGGUCUAACUUUUUUCUCCACCCCACACUAGGAUUACAGACACUAGCCACUUUGCCAGGCAGACCCCCCUGCUCCUCCAGAUUCGACCCCCCAUCCUCAUCCCUAGUUUUGUAACAGACCCUCUGCUCACUUUCUACUGCCAUUCCCAGGGGACUAAGCAGAUCCUGAUUCCCUCCCUCCUGAGGACCCCCUCAGUGUCCCCCUGAUCCCAUCCCUAUUCCUAAAUGUCAGCAAACAUACAAGCACAUUUUACAUGGAAUCCCCAUUGGCAACACCUCUAAGGAUCCCAGAAGAAUUUCCUACCAAGCAACACACAGCCAUCACACUCUCCUAAGACAAAGUGGUCAACAGAAACCAAGAAACAGGGACUGGAGAGAUGGCUCAGCGGUUAAGAGCACUGACUGCUCUUCCAGAGGUCCUGAGUUCAAUUCCCAGCAACCACAUGGUGGCUCACAUCCAUCUGUAAUGGGAUCUGAUGCCCUCUUCUGGUGUGUCUAAAAACAGCUACGGUGUACUGUAAUAAAAUAAAUAAAAUAAAAUAUUUUAAAAAAAGAAAGAAAAGAAACCAAGAAACAGACAAACAACAACAACAAAAACACCCAACAAAGACUAGAUGUCAGUAACCAGAAUUACAUUCAUCCCAACACCAGAUGCCCAGCUGCCAGCAAAAAAACUUAAUCUACAAUUACGAGGACACCAUGUCUCUGCAGACCCUGAGUACUCUAACAUAGCUGAAACACGAGAAAAAGACCUUAAAAUAGCCUUUAUGACUAUGACAGAGGUCCUUAAAGAGAGAAUAAAUCCUUUAAAGAAAUCUAUGAGAACAAAACCUGUGGAAGGAAAUGAAUUAAAACUGUUUAAGACCCAGAAGUGGAAAUAGAAUCAAUAAAGAAAACCCUAACUGAGAGAAAUCUGGAAAUGAAAAUAUAUCCAACCUAAAGAAGAAAGUGCCUAUCACAAAGCUCAGGAACCAUACAGAAUACCAAAUAACUGGAUGGGGUAAGGGGGAAGAAAGCCCCCUUGGCACAUAAUAAUCAAAACACUAAACACAUAGAAGAAAUAAAAUAUUAAGUGCUUAAAGGUAAAUAGAACAAGUAGUUUAUAAAAGUAGGACCCAGGCAGAAGUUUUUAAAACUCUUAAGAGACCACAGAUGCCAGGCCUGACUACUAUACCCAGCAAAACUUUCCAUCACAACGAAUGGCGAAAAUAAGAAAAGCCAAAUUUAAGCAAUAUCUGCCCACAAAUCUAGCCCUAUAGAAGGUUGUAGAAAGAACAACAACCACACCCAAGAAAACACAAAAAAAUAAACGGGGAAAUCAAGAGGGGAAACCAUACACACCAUACACACACACACACACACACACACACACACACACACACACACACACACCAAUGAGGAUCAACAAACACUGCUCACUGAUAUCUCUAAAUAUCAAUGGUCUUUCCACAAUUAAAAAACGAAAGUGAAGGGGCUGGGGAUUUAGCUCAGUGGUAGAGCGCUUACCUAGGAAGCGCAAGGCCCUGGGUUCGGUCCCCAGCUCCGAAAAAAAGAACCAAAAAAAAAAAAAAAAAAAAAAACGAAAGUGAAAAGCUAACCUAUGGAUGUGAAAAUAGGAGCCAUUCUGCUGCAUCCAAGAAACACACCUUAACAUCAAGGGUAGACAUCACUUCAGGGUAAAGGAGUUGGAAGGAUAUUCCAAGCAAAUGUACCCAAGAAGCAAGCAGAUGUAGCCAUUUUAAUAUCUGAUGAAAUACACUUUAAACCAAAACUAAUCAGAAAAGACAGGGAAGGAUACUAUAUACUCAUUAAAGGAAAAAUCCACCGAAAGGACAUUUCUAUUCUUUUGUUUGGUUGUUGGCUGGUUUUGUUGAGACAGGCUUUUUUCUGUAUAGCCCCUGACUGUCCUGAAACUCAUUCUGUAGACCAAGGUAUCCUUGAACUCACAGAGGUCUGCCUGCCUCUGACUCAUGAGUCUUGGGAUUAAAGGUAUAUGCCACCACCCAUCUUGUAUUUUAAUUCUUUUUUUUUUUUUGGUUCUUUUUUUUCGGAGCUGGGGACCGAACCCAGGGCCUUGCACUUCCUAGGCAAGCACUCUACCACUGAGCUAAAUCCCCAACCCCCUUGUAUUUUAAUUCUUAACAUCUAUGCAUCAAACACAAAGGCAGCCAAGUUCAAAAAACAAAACAAACAAAAUACCCCACUACUCCAGCUUAAAUCACAUAUUGACCCUUACACAUUAAUAGUGGGAGACUUCAAUGUCCCACUCUCACCAGUAGACAGAUCAUCCAGACGAAAGCUAAACAGAAAUGCUGAAGCUAGCAAACGUUAUAAACCAAAUGAACCUAAUGAAUAUUUAUAGAACAUUUCACCCAAACACAAAAGAUGAUCCCAGUUCUUCUUAGGACCUCAUGGAACUUUCUCCAAAGCUGACCACAUACUGGAUAGAAAGCAAGUCUCAAUAGAUAGUAGGAAAUUGAAAUACCCUCCUGCACCC